UCACAUACAGCCCCCAUUGCUAGGUACCUAUCGCUAAGCCUUACGUAACUUCUCAUGAUCACCCAUAUUUAUAUCUAGCGGUUGAAUAAUUGCAAAACAAAGCCCCUUAAAUCUCCUCACAUCUUCCUUUUUUGCAGUCUCAUUUUUAUUAGAGAGAACUAAAAAAUGCUUCAAGUUAGAGAAAAGGUUUAAGACGCACUUAGUUUGGUAUGAUCUUUUGUAGUCUACAUAUAUACUCGUUAUAAUCGUGAGAAUAUUAAAGAUCGUGCCAAGCUGUGUGCGUCUUAAAUUUCUUUAUCUCUCCAUCCCUCAAAAUUUUGCAUGAAUUUAAUUAAUUAUAUGGUGAAUUUGCAUGCGACAGGCGUGCACUAUUUGAUGGUAAGGAGAAAUAUGGAUCCAUGCAUGCUGAUGGACUAUGAAUCCAGCUUCAGUACAAUAAUAUUCAAGACUUUCAAUUUGUUGAGGCAGUUUUAAUCAUUUUUUUUUUCAGAUCUAGGUAUUCCGGUGCUGUUUUAUACUCUUUCCGUUUUGUUUUAAUUUACACAUUUACCGUCAAUGUAAAACUUUGAGGAUAUAUAUCCUACACAUUUACAGUCAAUGUGAAACUUUGAGGAUAUAUAUCUUUAGUUUUGUAUUUGUAAAAAUUAAAAAAAGUAUAUAUUAAUAAAAUACAUAUUAUGAUGAA
Long non-coding RNA from Beta vulgaris subsp. vulgaris (sugar beet), 685 nucleotides. RefSeq lists it as uncharacterized. The transcript is spliced from 2 exons. NCBI's taxonomy places the organism in Eukaryota, Viridiplantae, Streptophyta, Magnoliopsida, Caryophyllales, Amaranthaceae. The record is from RefSeq and is a predicted model, not a curated record.